RNAcentral lists this ribosomal RNA (1452 nucleotides) under Lactiplantibacillus plantarum subsp. plantarum. RNAcentral's name for it is "bacterial SSU rRNA". It matches the Rfam family "Bacterial small subunit ribosomal RNA". Lineage: Bacteria; Bacillati; Bacillota; Bacilli; Lactobacillales; Lactobacillaceae. The record is from RNAcentral.
AUACAUGCAAGUCGAACGAACUCUGGUAUUGAUUGGUGCUUGCAUCAUGAUUUACAUUUGAGUGAGUGGCGAACUGGUGAGUAACACGUGGGAAACCUGCCCAGAAGCGGGGGAUAACACCUGGAAACAGAUGCUAAUACCGCAUAACAACUUGGACCGCAUGGUCCGAGUUUGAAAGAUGGCUUCGGCUAUCACUUUUGGAUGGUCCCGCGGCGUAUUAGCUAGAUGGUGGGGUAACGGCUCACCAUGGCAAUGAUACGUAGCCGACCUGAGAGGGUAAUCGGCCACAUUGGGACUGAGACACGGCCCAAACUCCUACGGGAGGCAGCAGUAGGGAAUCUUCCACAAUGGACGAAAGUCUGAUGGAGCAACGCCGCGUGAGUGAAGAAGGGUUUCGGCUCGUAAAACUCUGUUGUUAAAGAAGAACAUAUCUGAGAGUAACUGUUCAGGUAUUGACGGUAUUUAACCAGAAAGCCACGGCUAACUACGUGCCAGCAGCCGCGGUAAUACGUAGGUGGCAAGCGUUGUCCGGAUUUAUUGGGCGUAAAGCGAGCGCAGGCGGUUUUUUAAGUCUGAUGUGAAAGCCUUCGGCUCAACCGAAGAAGUGCAUCGGAAACUGGGAAACUUGAGUGCAGAAGAGGACAGUGGAACUCCAUGUGUAGCGGUGAAAUGCGUAGAUAUAUGGAAGAACACCAGUGGCGAAGGCGGCUGUCUGGUCUGUAACUGACGCUGAGGCUCGAAAGUAUGGGUAGCAAACAGGAUUAGAUACCCUGGUAGUCCAUACCGUAAACGAUGAAUGCUAAGUGUUGGAGGGUUUCCGCCCUUCAGUGCUGCAGCUAACGCAUUAAGCAUUCCGCCUGGGGAGUACGGCCGCAAGGCUGAAACUCAAAGGAAUUGACGGGGGCCCGCACAAGCGGUGGAGCAUGUGGUUUAAUUCGAAGCUACGCGAAGAACCUUACCAGGUCUUGACAUACUAUGCAAAUCUAAGAGAUUAGACGUUCCCUUCGGGGACAUGGAUACAGGUGGUGCAUGGUUGUCGUCAGCUCGUGUCGUGAGAUGUUGGGUUAAGUCCCGCAACGAGCGCAACCCUUAUUAUCAGUUGCCAGCAUUAAGUUGGGCACUCUGGUGAGACUGCCGGUGACAAACCGGAGGAAGGUGGGGAUGACGUCAAAUCAUCAUGCCCCUUAUGACCUGGGCUACACACGUGCUACAAUGGAUGGUACAACGAGUUGCGAACUCGCGAGAGUAAGCUAAUCUCUUAAAGCCAUUCUCAGUUCGGAUUGUAGGCUGCAACUCGCCUACAUGAAGUCGGAAUCGCUAGUAAUCGCGGAUCAGCAUGCCGCGGUGAAUACGUUCCCGGGCCUUGUACACACCGCCCGUCACACCAUGAGAGUUUGUAACACCCAAAGUCGGUGGGGUAACCUUUUAGGAACCAGCCGCCUAAGGUGGGUA